GACACGACCGUACCGCAAACCGACACUGGUGCGCGAGAUGAGUAUUCUAAGGCGCUUGAGAGAACUCAGGAGAAGGAACUCGGCAAAUUGACACCGUAACUUCGGAAGAAGGUGUGCCUUUAGUAGGUGAACCUGUACAAGGGGAGCCCAAUGAGGUUGCAAAAAAUCAGUGGCUGCGACUGUUUAAUAAAAACACAGCACUCUGCAAACACGAAAGUGGACGUAUAGGGUGUGACGCCUGCCCGGUGCUGGAAGAUUAAAUGAUGGGGUGCAAGCUCUUGAUUGAAGUCCCAGUAAACGGCGGCCGUAACAAUAACGGUCCUAAGGUAGCGAAAUUCCUUGUCGGGUAAGUUCCGACCUGCACGAAUGGCGUAACGAUGGCCACACUGUCUCCUCCUGAGACUCAGCGAAGUUGAAAUGUUUGUGAUGAUGCAAUCUCCCCGCGGAAAGACGGAAAGACCCCAUGAACCUUUACUGUAGCUUUGUAUUGGACUUUGAACAGAUCUGUGUAGGAUAGGUGGGAGGCUUUGAAGUGUGGUCGCUAGAUCGCAUGGAGCCAACGUUGAAAUACCACCCUGGUGUGUUUGAGGUUCUAACCUAGGCCCGUAAUCCGGGUCGGGGACAGUGCAUGGUAGGCAGUUUGACUGGGGCGGUCUCCUCCCAAAGCGUAACGGAGGAGUUCGAAGGUACGCUAGGUACGGUCGGACAUCGUGCUAAUAGUGCAAUGGCAUAAGCGUGCUUAACUGCGAGACUGACAAGUCGAGCAGAUGCGAAAGCAGGACAUAGUGAUCCGGUGGUUCUGUAUGGAAGGGCCAUCGCUCAACGGAUAAAAGGUACUCUGGGGAUAACAGGCUGAUACCGCCCAAGAGUUCAUAUCGACGGCGGUGUUUGGCACCUCGAUGUCGGCUCAUCUCAUCCUGGGGCUGUAGCCGGUCCCAAGGGUAUGGCUGUUCGCCAUUUAAAGAGGUACGUGAGCUGGGUUUAAAACGUCGUGAGACAGUUUGGUCCCUAUCUUCCGUGGGCGCUGCAGAUUUGAGGAAGCCUGCUCCUAGUACGAGAGGACCGGAGUGGACACACCUCUGGUGUAUCGGUUGUCACGCCAGUGGCAUUGCCGAGUAGCUAUGUGUGGAAGAGAUAACCGCUGAAAGCAUCUAAGCGGGAAACUCGUUUCAAGAUGAGAUCUGCCGGGGCCUUGAGCCCCCUAAAGAGUCGUUCAAGACCAGGACGUUGAUAGGUCGGGUGUGGAAGCGCAGUAAUGCGUUAAGCUAACCGAUACUAAUUGCUCGUGCGGCUUGACC
Molecule: ribosomal RNA, 1298 nt
Filed under: metagenome
Description: bacterial LSU rRNA
Rfam family: Bacterial large subunit ribosomal RNA
Source: RNAcentral